AUCAGGUUGCUCCAAGCCCCGUUUAAGAAUUUCUUCCAUUGCUUAUUCCCUCUGGAUUUGGACUCCGUCACCUUCAGCGUACACUGGCUCCGUGCAGGGGCAUCUUGCUCAGCCUCUUCACAUAGUUCAGAAAUAAAUUUUCAGUCCUAACAACUCUUUGCUAAGGGAAUAGAGCUGUGUGGGUUGCACUCAAUGAUCUUAGGGGUCUGUUCCACUCUGAACCAUCGUAUGGUUCAAUAUUGUGUUGCAGAAUAAUCCCCCGCUGCCCUUUUAACUCUGGGUAGAAACCCUGAGUUAAGUGAACCUGUCAUGGUAGGUCACUGUGGGAUGUUGUAGUCAACAGGCUUUCCUGCAGGUUGCUCCAGUACUUGUGGAAUUGAUUAAAGUGUAAAUGGGAUGUUUGCUGGACAAGAUAAAGAACAACUGGAAUCAUCUUUACAUGCAGUGCUUCUCAGAAGUUUAGAUAAUUUGACAACAUUUGACGUAAUUUGCCUUUAAAAGUCUGAGGUUGUUUUCACCAGAAUAGUUGAGGUGAUUGUGAUGUUGCAUUUAGAGGUAUUUAUGACCUUGAUCUUUUUAUCACAAUAAAGGAAGUGGAAGGAAGAGCAAACAAAGCUUUUGACAAAAUAUAAAGGACCUUAAUACUCAUGUUAUGGGUUUUGAACAAGCCACACUUUCCACUGGAGUUGGUGAAGAGGGAGGACAGGAGGAGGAGAGAAGCACAUGUGGAGCUUGUUCCAAGCCCAGGUUCAACCCUUAAAUCCAGAACACUCUGUGUUUCCUUUGUGGGUGAGUUGUGUGAAACGAAUCCACGGUCUCAGUCUCACUGGCAGAGCAGUUGUCACUCUUGGAGCUGUAAAGGACGUCCCAGUGUAACAAUGGCACUGCAGUCAGCCAGCCGCGUUCCUGGUGUGCAGCUCGGAGAUGGGAAGAGCUGGGAGCAGCAGGAGCACGCAGGGAUCUGUCCGAGCUCCAGGUACCUCUGCAGCCCGGGCAGAGCGUUGGGAGGAGGGCGGGAGCACGGCGUGUCCAUCCCCCCGGCCGGGCCGGGCUCUGCUCUGUCCCCAGCGUGGUCCCCGCGUAGGGCCGGCUCCGGUUUCUAUUGCAGCAAUCAAAGCCACAAGUCGCUCUCAAGACAAGCUCGCACGGAGCAAAUGCAAAUACAGCUGCGCUGCUGUUUGUGUAAAUCACCCAGGGCGUGCCCGGCACUCGGGCUGGAGGGUUAACACACCAAUGGCUGCAUUAAUGAUUGCUGCAAAACAUGCAGAGUCCUUCCUCGGGCUGACCCAGUAAUGUCAAGACCUGCUUGUGUGAUUGCAGUCACAGCUCAGAGAGCACACACAGCCUCACAGAGGCCUUUUGUUCCUGCCUGGCUGGAGCACGGGGAUCCACUCUGGGACACUGGGCAGACACAGCUUGGAGCUUUCAGUGUGCUACUCCACGUUUGUGCUCGAGGUGUGAGCCAAGAGCUGCGUGUUACAACACAAGGACUCGGACCAGCGGGCCCUGGACAGCUUCAGUCUGGAUCUAGGGAUGGGAACAGCUGAUCUGUAUCAUCCCACCAGCCCCGCUGGCAUGGCACCAUUUUAAAAGCAGAAUUCUGACCACUUUUCCCCCUGCCACCCCAGACUUUCUGCAGCCACAGUCCAUGCUCUCUUGUCCUAAUCCCUCUCCUAGAAGCCGAAGUCCAGCCCUCCUGAGCACAGGAGAUGUGGGGGUCACUGAGUGCUGGCAGUCCCAGAGUCACUGUUCUUGGGUGAAGGUCUCCCCUCCUUCAGGCUGUGUUGGAGUUUGGUGUCUGGCCACGGGCAGCUACCCUGGAGAACCUGUGUGGAGUGACUUGGGGGUCUGGGUAGAUGGCAGCCUCCAGAAGACACAGGCCUGUCUCGUGGGGACUUUGUCCAUGGGAAGAGCUCCUCCACCAGGAACUGUGGUAACAACGCUCCGUCCUCUGGUGGGGACACAGGAUUGAUGUGCCAGCUGCAGAGACACUCCCUCCAAGGGGAUCCUGGAGCCCCCAGAGCCGAGGUGGCCUCACUCAGGCCCCGCUGCUCUGGCUGUGACACUCGGAGCCACCUGGAGCCGCGGUGUCCAGCGGGCUCUGGGCUGUUUCCUUCCUCAAAACUUCACCCUGAAGCAACGGCUCGAACAGUUCACCGUCGAAAAGUUUCACUUCCCAAAUAGUGCCGUGCUAUAAAUACCCUGUGCAGUGGGAUAUGACAUUUACUCCCACACACGAGGCAGGCGUGCUUUGUGCCUUGCGUACUCCAGGCCUUAACCCGUGAGUAAACACGAGGAGAAGGAUGAUCCCGGUGGAGGGAGCCCAGCUUGGCCUGAUCCUCAUUCCUGCUGUCAUGUGUGAAUACAGAUGGAGGGAGAUACAUCCAGGGGUGCAGAGCUGGGCAUGGACCAAGGGCAGCAUGUCCAAAGUCUUCCCCCCCUACAGGAGCCUGCAAGAAACUAUUCCUCUUCCUGGAACAUAAAAAGGAGAAUUAUUUCCUUCCCCAGGUUAGAGGAAAUCUAGAAAAUAGGAUCUCUGAGGGAGGAGUGAAAGAAUUGUUUGGUCCAGAGGAGCCAAGCCUGGGACAGCUGGGGAUGAACUGACCUCCAGCCUCCCCUUCACAGCUGCACUUCCUGCCCUGCUGGGAGAACCCUCCUCAACAAACAAAAGGCUGCCACGGAAAAGAAGGGAAUAAACUGCUCAGGGCCUGCCUGGAGAG
Long non-coding RNA from Corapipo altera (White-ruffed manakin), 2720 nucleotides. RefSeq lists it as uncharacterized. NCBI's taxonomy places the organism in Eukaryota, Metazoa, Chordata, Aves, Passeriformes, Pipridae. The transcript is spliced from 3 exons. The record is from RefSeq and is a predicted model, not a curated record.